CCUACGGGUGGCAGCAGUAGGGAAUAUUGCUCAAUGGGGGAAACCCUGAAGCAGCAACGCCGCGUGGAGGAUGAAGGUUUUCGGAUUGUAAACUCCUUUUUUUAGAGAAGAUAAUGACGGUAUCUAACGAAUAAGCACCGUCUAACUCCGGUCCAGCAGCCGCGGUAAUACGGAGGGUGCAAGCGUUACUCGGAAUCACUGGGCGUAAAGGGCGCGUAGGCGGGAUAGCAAGUCAGAUGGGAAAUCCUAGGGCUUAACCAUAGAACUGCAGUUGAAACUAGUAUUCUAGAGUAUGGGAGAGGUAGGUGGAAUUCGUGGUGUAGGGGUAAAAUCCGUAGAGAUCAAGAGGAAUACUCAUUGCGAAGGCGACCUGCUAGAACAUAACUGACGCUGAUGCGCGAAAGCGUGGGUAGCAAACAGGAUUAGAUACCCGAGUAGUC
This 440-nucleotide ribosomal RNA is filed under the name uncultured bacterium. RNAcentral describes it as "partial 16S ribosomal RNA". It matches the Rfam family "Bacterial small subunit ribosomal RNA", at positions 338 to 795 of the family's 1533-position model. The record is from RNAcentral.